CUUCUUCAUCAUCACCAC
RNAcentral lists this small RNA (18 nucleotides) under Arabidopsis thaliana (thale cress). RNAcentral describes it as "ATSL141070". Lineage: Eukaryota; Viridiplantae; Streptophyta; Magnoliopsida; Brassicales; Brassicaceae. The record is from RNAcentral.